Molecule: ribosomal RNA, 646 nt
Filed under: Enterococcus sp.
Lineage: Bacteria; Bacillati; Bacillota; Bacilli; Lactobacillales; Enterococcaceae
Description: bacterial SSU rRNA
Rfam family: Bacterial small subunit ribosomal RNA
Source: RNAcentral
UGCAGUCGACGCUUCUUUCCUCCCGAGUGCUUGCACUCAAUUGGAAAGAGGAGUGGCGGACGGGUGAGUAACACGUGGGUAACCUACCCAUCAGAGGGGGAUAACACUUGGAAACAGGUGCUAAUACCGCAUAACAGUUUAUGCCGCAUGGCAUAAGAGUGAAAGGCGCUUUCGGGUGUCGCUGAUGGAUGGACCCGCGGUGCAUUAGCUAGUUGGUGAGGUAACGGCUCACCAAGGCCACGAUGCAUAGCCGACCUGAGAGGGUGAUCGGCCACACUGGGACUGAGACACGGCCCAGACUCCUACGGGAGGCAGCAGUAGGGAAUCUUCGGCAAUGGACGAAAGUCUGACCGAGCAACGCCGCGUGAGUGAAGAAGGUUUUCGGAUCGUAAAACUCUGUUGUUAGAGAAGAACAAGGACGUUAGUAACUGAACGUCCCCUGACGGUAUCUAACCGGAAAGCCACGGCUAACUACGUGCCAGCAUCCGCGGUAAUACGUAGGUGGCAAGCGUUGUCCGGAUUUAUUGGGCGUAAAGCGAGCGCAGGCGGUUUCUUAAGUCUGAUGUGAAACCCCCCGGCUCAACCGGGGAGGGCAUUGGAACUGGGAGACUUGAGUGCAAACACGAGAGUGUAAUUCCCUGUGUAU